AGGGGAGAAGCGUUUGGAAGCAUAGCUGGCUUGAAAUCAGUUAAAGGGGGUUCAAGUCCCUCCUCCCUUG
Molecule: transfer RNA, 70 nt
Filed under: Eremias scripta (Sand racerunner)
Lineage: Eukaryota; Metazoa; Chordata; Lepidosauria; Squamata; Lacertidae
Description: tRNA-Ser
Rfam family: tRNA
About the family: Transfer RNA (tRNA) molecules are approximately 80 nucleotides in length. Their secondary structure includes four short double-helical elements and three loops (D, anti-codon, and T loops). Further hydrogen bonds mediate the characteristic L-shaped molecular structure. tRNAs have two regions of fundamental functional importance: the anti-codon, which is responsible for specific mRNA codon recognition, and the 3' end, to which the tRNAs corresponding amino acid is attached (by aminoacyl-tRNA synthetases). tRNAs cope with the degeneracy of the genetic code in two manners: having more than one tRNA (with a specific anti-codon) for a particular amino acid; and 'wobble' base-pairing, i.e. permitting non-standard base-pairing at the 3rd anti-codon position.
Source: RNAcentral